GUCUAUGGCUAUACCACUCUAAAUGUGUCUGAGUUCAUCUGCUCUUGGAAGGUAAGAAGGUCAGGCCUGGUUAGUGCUUGGAUU
This 84-nucleotide ribosomal RNA is filed under the name Ochotona princeps (American pika). Lineage: Eukaryota; Metazoa; Chordata; Mammalia; Lagomorpha; Ochotonidae. The record is from RNAcentral.